AGAAAAGAUAAUUAAGCUUCUAACUUAGUGUAUGACUAAACUCACUUUUCUUU
RNAcentral lists this transfer RNA (53 nucleotides) under Trichuris sp. 2 ARS-2017. Its description in RNAcentral is "tRNA-Ser". The record is from RNAcentral. Lineage: Eukaryota; Metazoa; Nematoda; Enoplea; Trichinellida; Trichuridae.